CGACCGGCGCACGGGUGAGUAACACGUAUGCAACCUGGUCGUCACAGGUGGAUAACCGGAAGAAAUUCCGACUAAUACAGCAUAACACUCCUGAGGGACAUCCUUCGGGAGUCAAAGGAGGCAACUCCGGUGACGGAUGGGCAUGCGGCGCAUUAGGUAGUUGGUAGGGUAACGGCCUACCAAGCCGACGAUGCGUAGGGGUUCUGAGAGGAAGGUCCCCCACAUUGGAACUGAGACACGGUCCAAACUCCUACGGGAGGCAGCAG
This 266-nucleotide ribosomal RNA is filed under the name uncultured bacterium. RNAcentral's name for it is "partial 16S ribosomal RNA". It matches the Rfam family "Bacterial small subunit ribosomal RNA", at positions 92 to 354 of the family's 1533-position model. The record is from RNAcentral.